Molecule: ribosomal RNA, 468 nt
Filed under: uncultured bacterium
Lineage: Bacteria
Description: partial 16S ribosomal RNA
Rfam family: Bacterial small subunit ribosomal RNA
Source: RNAcentral
GACGAACGCUGGCGGCGUGCUUAACACAUGCAAGUCGAACGGAAAGGCCCUGCUUUUGUGGGGUGCUCGAGUGGCGAACGGGUGAGUAACACGUGAGUAACCUGCCCUUGACUUUGGGAUAACUUCAGGAAACUGGGGCUAAUACCGGAUAGGAGCUACUGCUGCAUGGUGGGGGUUGGAAAGUUUCGGCGGUGGGGGAUGGACUCGCGGCUUAUCAGCUUGUUGGUGGGGUAGUGGCUUACCAAGGCUUUGACGGGUAGCCGGCCUGAGAGGGUGACCGGCCACAUUGGGACUGAGAUACGGCCCAGACUCCUACGGGAGGCAGCAGUGGGGAAUAUUGCACAAUGGGCGGAAGCCUGAUGCAGCAACGCCGCGUGCGGGAUGACGGCCUUCGGGUUGUAAACCGCUUUCGCCUGUGACGAAGCGUGAGUGACGGUAAUGGGUAAAGAAGCACCGGCUAACUACGUG